UACGGGGGGGGCAAGCGUUGUUCGGAAUUACUGGGCGUAAAGGGCUCGUAGGUGGCCAAUUAAGUCAGACGUGAAAUCCCCAGGCUUAACCUGGGAACUGCGUCUGAUACUGGUUGGCUUGAAUUCGGGAGAGGGAUGCAGAAUUCCAGGUGUAGCGGUGAAAUGCGUAGAUAUCUGGAGGAAUACCGGUGGCAAAGGCGGCAUCCUGGACCGAGAUUGACACUGAGGAGCGAAAGCCAGGGGAGCAAACGGG
Molecule: ribosomal RNA, 253 nt
Filed under: uncultured bacterium
Lineage: Bacteria
Description: partial 16S ribosomal RNA
Rfam family: Bacterial small subunit ribosomal RNA
Source: RNAcentral